RNAcentral lists this ribosomal RNA (272 nucleotides) under uncultured Staphylococcus sp. RNAcentral describes it as "partial 16S ribosomal RNA". It matches the Rfam family "Bacterial small subunit ribosomal RNA", at positions 90 to 354 of the family's 1533-position model. The record is from RNAcentral. Lineage: Bacteria; Bacillati; Bacillota; Bacilli; Caryophanales; Staphylococcaceae.
CGUUAGCGGCGGACGGGUGAGUAACGCGUGGGUAACCUACCUAUAAGACUGGGAUAACUUCGGGAAACCGGAGCUAAUACCGGAUAAUAUUUAGAACCGCAUGGUUCGAUAGUGAAAGAUGGUUUUGCUAUCACUUAUAGAUGGACCUGCGCCGUAUUAGCUAGUUGGUAAGGUGACGGCUUACCAAGGCGACGAUACGUAGCCGACCUGAGAGGGUGAUCGGCCACACUGGAACUGAGACACGGUCCAGACUCCUACGGGAGGCAGCAGAC